Molecule: long non-coding RNA, 1314 nt
Filed under: Triticum aestivum (bread wheat)
Lineage: Eukaryota; Viridiplantae; Streptophyta; Magnoliopsida; Poales; Poaceae
Description: long non-coding RNA (TAES_LNC006915)
Source: RNAcentral
AGGUGCCUGUGCAUUGUUACGGAGCAAUAAAACAUAUGCAUACAUGAAUUGAAUAUGCCUUCCUAUUUCACAAUUCCUUACAAAUUGAACAUCGUGAGUCCAAAAUUAAAACAAACAAAACCGGUAACUGAGAUGUGAUAAUAAUCCACAAGGGACAUGUCCAUAAUGCUUAACAAGCUACAUAUCUUCAACAAUUUGCUUAGAUGAUAUAAAGCGAUCUUCAUACUAUAAUGUUGCUCCUAAAUUUGAUUGAUAAUCCUGAAUUUUAGCCCUACCUUCUUCCUCAUUGAUUUAACCUGCUCAUUCUCAAAAUCAGACAAAGGAUAGUUGAAUGUAAAUGACUGAAACCAAGUUACAAGAAGACGAACAAAUUUAAAAUGCUCAGUUGCGUUCAGGUUGUAGCAUUCAACCUAAGCAAUGAUGCCAGCACGCGAAGCAAUCAAGUUGCUGAUCUAGAAAAGAAGUGAAAAGUUAACCUUUCAUGCCCCUGAUCUAGCAUGCAAAAUUGUUGCACAGGGGUCACCACCGGUAGCCAGAAGAAUUAUGUCAGCAGCCUCAUCAUCGUACUGCUCAUACAUGAGAUGUGAAAAGGUAUAGAAAUCCACAAAUUCUACUAAAAAAUCUGCAAGCACAAGCUUUUACAUGGCCAGUUACUCACUUGGAGGAAGACUGCACGAGCGAAGUCAAUGCCAAAAGAGAUGAUCACCUUGUACAGGUCCCUCUGCAACUAACUAAAAAUCUUGGAAAUAUCAUUUUUACCAGAAUUCUCAUGUACAACAGGAAGUCUCUAGUUCUUACCAGAAGGAACAUAACUGCCUUUUCAUUUCCCACUCAUGAUCGCAUAGCAGACACAGGCUCAACCAAGCUUUCUGAAAACUGCAGGAAGGAUGAGCAUAAUCAGCAAUUUCAGUCAGGCGAGCACAAAUGUAUACUUCAGUAGUAAACCACUGCCAAGAAAACAUAAUAAAUGCAUCAACCACAACCGAAUUUUGUAUUCACCAUUUUCUAUCUUCAAUUUUAAAAGAGAAUUCAUUGCCACAAUGGGAUGGGGCAUGCUUUCCUUUAACACUAUCUGACACUGCCGUACGAGAUUCUUUGGUACUAUAUAUUAAAAGACCAAUCUUAAAAUAAUAUAUGCAAAUAAAAAAGAACAAAACUAUGCAACAUGAUGUUCAAACUUCUGAACAAUAACAUUUACCAGUUCAUUUGGUCCAGAGGCCCCUCAACCAAAUGAAAACAAACAAAAUAAAUAAUUUGCACAGUGUCGUGUUCGGGAAACAUCGAGCAUGGACUCAUGUCGAGGAAAAUUAAAAG